GAGUUACUCCCUUCGUUCUAAAUUACUUGUCGCAGGUAUGGAUGUAUCUAGAUGUAUUUUAGUUUUAGAUACAUCCAUUUCUGCGACGAGUAAUUUGAAACAGAAGGAGUACAAA
Triticum aestivum (bread wheat) is the source of this 115-nucleotide non-coding RNA. The record is from Rfam. Lineage: Eukaryota; Viridiplantae; Streptophyta; Magnoliopsida; Poales; Poaceae.